AUCGCUUCCCGGCUCCUUGGAGCUAAGAUCAAAGCGUAGUAUCUGUUCUUAUCAGUUUAAUAUCUGAUAUGUCCUUUAUUUGAGGACUGUAUAUUAAAUUGAUUUUUGAAACAGGGGGAUGGAAUAGGAGCUUGCUCUGUCCACCCCAUGCAUUGACCUGGUAUUGCAGUGUCUCCAGGAACAGUGCAUCUCCU
Molecule: small nuclear RNA, 194 nt
Organism: Terrapene triunguis (Three-toed box turtle)
Lineage: Eukaryota; Metazoa; Chordata; Testudines; Emydidae
Gene: U2
Rfam family: U2 spliceosomal RNA
About the family: U2 is a small nuclear RNA (snRNA) component of the spliceosome (involved in pre-mRNA splicing). Complementary binding between U2 snRNA (in an area lying towards the 5' end but 3' to hairpin I) and the branchpoint sequence (BPS) of the intron results the bulging out of an unpaired adenosine, on the BPS, which initiates a nucleophilic attack at the intronic 5' splice site, thus starting the first of two transesterification reactions that mediate splicing.
Source: Ensembl